CCUACGGGCGGCUGCAGUGGGGAAUAUUGGACAAUGGGGGCAACCCUGAUCCAGCCAUGCCGCGUGUGUGAAGAAGGCCCUCGGGUUGUAAAGCACUUUCAGUGAGGAAGAACGCCUGGUGGUUAAUACCCAUCAGGAAAAACAUCACUCACAGAAGAAGCACCGGCUAACUCCGUGCCAGCAGCCGCGGUAAUACGGAGGGUGCGAGCGUUAAUCGGAAUUACUGGGCGUAAAGCGCGCGUAGGUGGCUUGAUAAGCCGGUUGUGAAAGCCCCGGGCUCAACCUGGGAACGGCAUCCGGAACUGUCAAGCUAGAGUGCAGGAGAGGAAGGUAGAAUUCCCGGUGUAGCGGUGAAAUGCGUAGAGAUCGGGAGGAAUACCAGUGGCGAAGGCGGCCUUCUGGACUGACACUGACACUGAGGUGCGAAAGCGUGGGUAGCAAACAGGAUUAGAUACCCUGGUAGUC
RNAcentral lists this ribosomal RNA (465 nucleotides) under Vreelandella stevensii. RNAcentral's name for it is "partial 16S ribosomal RNA". It matches the Rfam family "Bacterial small subunit ribosomal RNA", at positions 338 to 795 of the family's 1533-position model. Lineage: Bacteria; Pseudomonadati; Pseudomonadota; Gammaproteobacteria; Oceanospirillales; Halomonadaceae. The record is from RNAcentral.